UUGAAAUCUUGCAACAUACUAUUCAGUAUAUUCUAUCUACAAUGAGAAGGAUGUGGAAUGGCUUUAUGCUUCACUAAUUUCCCUGUUUGUGCACCUUUCCAUCUAAAUGAAGCUGUAUCUGAUCCUUUUUUACAUGUGGAGAAUGAAACUGGGACAUAAAAUAAUGAUGCAGCCCCAAAGCCCACUCAGUGUAAAUCAGCAAGCAUUUUGCCCGUAAUAUUGUAGAGAUUGUUAACACUACAAUGGGCUUGACUUAUACUACUGCUUACUAGGGGGUGCCAAGAAGACAAAAGCUUUUCCAGUUUAAAAAACAAUCACACAAAUUCAAGGAGUAAUCUUCUCUCUUUGUACUUACAGUUUAUAUAUAUGAUGUGCUAAGGUUCUUCAGUAAUACUUAAUUUGAUGUGCAUUUUCCUGAUUCUGGUGAAAUUAAGAGGACACUUCUAGCUUACAGAUUUUGAUGUCCUUGUACAUUUGAAGAUAGUCUCAACAGUAGGCAUGAAGGCUUAGUUACCAGGAAAACUUUGUUAUUCAAAGAAGAUACAACAAUCUGAUCUUGCAACAUUAAUAGUAGUUUUUGGCUAUUUUAGAGAGAGAGACAUGAGGAAAAAUACCCAUGUCUACAUCCCUAAAAAUCAACUACCAGACCUGGUGGUUUGUCCCCAUCCGCAAGCUGGAGUCCUUUAAAAGGAUAACAUGUCUAUCUUGAAUACUUAUUAAAAUUAUACAUGCAUCUUGGCAAGAUACUAUUUUCAGGCUCCGACUCCCUGAGGUAAUUAAUCUUCAUAGUUAACAUGUUCAGGUCAGGAGAUCGGCUUCCAAGUCAUUAUUGCCACCUUCAAUUUCCUGAGUAAGUUCCUUUGCUCUGCUGGCUUGUUGUUUCCAAUCAGUGCAGACCAGAGUGCAGACCAUCAUGCAUGUACAUGAAAUUUGUGCUGCAGCAAGCCCAAACCACAGCCCCUUAAAGCCCAUGUUAAAUUUGAAGGCCAAUAUAACUGCAACAGGCAAACCAAUUAGAUAGAAGGAGACAAAAUUGAUCUGACAGCCCAUCUUGGGCCGGGCCGAGCCUACUAAAAUUCCACAUGCCAGAUGACACCCAGGAGCUUGGAUCUCUCUCAUGCAUCAUUGGAAAUAUAAGGCUGAGGGCCAUCAGCCAUGUAGGAGUUCAGAUAUUAGCUUCUUCAUUAUUUCAUAUUCUGUGGUGGGGAUGCUACCUAGUGCAGUCUUUGUUAAAGUUAUACAUAAAAUCUCUUAAAGCUAGGGUUUAUCAGAUAUUAGAGAAACCCACAACAGUUCUAGCGACAGAAAUCAUCAAUUUUUUAAGUCUUCUGUUGGUAACUCUAAAUGUAGCAGGUAAUAAUCUUGUGAAGCGUGAAAGUACUUUUCACCUAAUAUUCAUGUUUUCUGAAUUUGUUAAAGAUGCAUCAUAAUGAUUGUAUCAUAGUAUCUUCUAUUUUUUUGUUUCACGUUUGAUUUCUGAUUUUAUAUGAGCUAAGAUGUUCAAUUAAGCACUUUUGGGAUUUUAUUGAGAACUUAAUCAAUAUCUUUCAGAUAACAAAUACCAUCCAGACGAAAUUUAUUGUUUCUUCGUCAAUCAAGUCAGGAAUGGAGUAUUUGAUAUAGGUCCAGGCCACCAAAGAUGUACUCUCAUCUUGACCUAACCAUGAGAAGAUGGGUUCCAAGUUUAACCACAAUAUGCAGAUUGGAAAGGUUGCUACCAAGAGCAGAAAUAGAGUUUUUUGGAAGGUUUGACUGAGAAUUGCCCAUCUCUUUGCUCCAUAAGCCUGACAUUUUCUUUCAACGAUGUGCUAAUUAUACAAGCAAGUAAUUUGAUUUCCAGAUCUUUGUCACUAUUGUUUUCCCCUAUAACUAGUACCAGACUUGAUUUCAUCGUCAGAUUAAAAGAUUUUUGUUGUUUAGUCCUACCUGAUGCAUGCCUUUGUAAUUUUUUUUUUUUUGCACAUUCCUUUUUGAUCGGUAUAACAUGUCUGUUGCAUAUCAGGUUCUUUACCAUAUCACGACUUGUAGGUACCUGAUUUUUGGUUUACUUCGAGAUUCAUUCUGUGAAGUAACAUCUUUUGCAUAAUGAUUGCUUUGUUUGCUUAUCUGUCAUCCCAGGUAAUCAUAAAAAAACUCGCAGAAGUAUCAUCACAGCUUCGCGCACAAGAUGUUUCAUGUUAUUCCUUGAAAUCUUGCAACAUACUAUUCAGUAUAUUCUAUCUACAAUGAGAAGGAUGUGGAAUGGCUUUAUGCUUCACUAAUUUCCCUGUUUGUGCACCUUUCCAUCUAAAUGAAGCUGUAUCUGAUCCUUUUUUACAUGUGGAGAAUGAAACUGGGACAUAAAAUAAUGAUGCAGCCCCAAAGCCCACUCAGUGUAAAUCAGCAAGCAUUUUGCCCGUAAUAUUGUAGAGAUUGUUAA
RNAcentral lists this long non-coding RNA (2419 nucleotides) under Olea europaea (common olive). RNAcentral's name for it is "long non-coding RNA (OEUR_LNC008855)". Lineage: Eukaryota; Viridiplantae; Streptophyta; Magnoliopsida; Lamiales; Oleaceae. The record is from RNAcentral.